AAAGGGAGACCUAAUUCAGGUAGGAGACGAAAAAAAAGUAGUCCCUACCAAGAAUCAAUCCCAAAAGGUCGGAACGAGGUAUGAGGCUUUCAAACUAGGUUCUGGGUUCAUAAAAGACCUGAAUCAGGAACAAGGGCUAUUAGCUCAGGUGGUUAGAGCGCACCCCUGAUAAGGGUGAGGUCCCUGGUUCGAGUCCAGGAUGGCCCACCUGCACAGGUGGCAAAAACAAAAGAAGCGAGGAAUCAGCACCUUAUCUUAUAUACAUAUAUAAGAGAGAAUGCUGGCUCUGAGUACAGAGUCCAGAGGAACCUUGAAAACUGCAUAGAGCUAGGUGAAAAAGCCAAAAAAGAAGACCGCAAG
This 360-nucleotide transfer RNA is filed under the name uncultured Microcystis sp. RNAcentral's name for it is "partial 16S-23S ribosomal RNA intergenic spacer". The stretch from base 134 to 207 matches the Rfam family "tRNA". Lineage: Bacteria; Bacillati; Cyanobacteriota; Cyanophyceae; Chroococcales; Microcystaceae. The record is from RNAcentral.